This 747-nucleotide ribosomal RNA is filed under the name uncultured bacterium. Its description in RNAcentral is "bacterial SSU rRNA". It matches the Rfam family "Bacterial small subunit ribosomal RNA", at positions 53 to 787 of the family's 1533-position model. The record is from RNAcentral.
ACAUGCAAGUCGAGGGGAAACGACAUCGAAAGCUUGCUUUUGAUGGGUGUCGACCGGCGCACGGGUGAGUAACGCGUAUCCAACCUGCCCACCACAUGGGGAUAACCUUGCGAAAGUAAGACUAAUACCCAAUGAUAUCUCUAGAAGACAUCUGAAAGAGAUUAAAGAUUUAUCGGUGAUGGAUGGGGAUGCGUCUGAUUAGCUUGUUGGCGGGGUAACGGCCCACCAGGGCGACGAUCAGUAGGGGUUCUGAGAGGAAGGUCCCCCACAUUGGAACUGAGACACGGUCCAAACUCCUACGGGAGGCAGCAGUGAGGAGUAUUGGUCAAUGGACGAGAGUCUGAACCAGCCAAGUAGCGUGCAGGAUGACGGCCCUAUGGGUUGUAAACUGCUUUUAUAAGGGAAUAAAGUGAGUCUCGUGAGACUUUUUGCAUGUACCUUAUGAAUAAGGACCGGCUAAUUCCGUGCCAGCAGCCGCGGUAAUACGGAAGGUCCGGGCGUUAUCCGGAUUUAUUGGGUUUAAAGGGAGCGUAGGCCGGAGAUUAAGCGUGUUGUGAAAUGUAGACGCUCAACGUCUGCACUGCAGCGCGAACUGGUUUCCUUGAGUACGCACAAAGUGGGCGGAAUUCGUGGUGUAGCGGUGAAAUGCUUAGAUAUCACGAAGAACUCCGAUUGCGAAGGCAGCUCACUGGAGCGCAACUGACGCUGAAGCUCGAAAGUGCGGGUAUCGAACAGGAUUAGAUACCC